Non-coding RNA from Paramuricea clavata, 1277 nucleotides. NCBI's taxonomy places the organism in Eukaryota, Metazoa, Cnidaria, Anthozoa, Malacalcyonacea, Plexauridae. The record is from the annotation of a GenBank genome assembly.
AAGUUUGAAACAAGCUGUUAACAAUUUUUACAAGACAGUGCUAACAAGUUUGUUGGAACCAUGAUAUAGCAAGGAUGUUCCAAGGUUGUCAACACAAGGUUGUCAACACAAGGUUGUAACAAUCUUGUUAUAUCAAGCAUGUAACAGACUUGUCAGAACAACCUUGCAACAAGUCUGAUAACUUCGACAAGGUUGUUACAAGUUGUCAACAAGUUGUUCCAAACCUGUUGACAACUUGUGACAAGCAGUGCGAAUACAUCUUGUUGACGGCUUGUUGGCAGACUUGUUACAAGAUGUGAGAAUUUUACGUGUGUAUGAGUGUGGCAGCUAAAUCAUGGAAUCCCCACGUGUUGCAAUUUUGCAAAUCAGAAAAGUCAUAUUUCACUGAGUCGGGAAGUUUAUUGAUUUAUUAAUAUUUUUUCUAAGAUGUGUUUUGUAAUUAUUUAUUAAUUGCAUUGCCUUUAGCCGCUAUCAUUAUAAUGGUUGUGUGAUCUCUAUGCAUGAGUUUUUAUUAUUUAGGACAAAAUGGUGUCUGCGGAAACAGUAGGUGGUAAACUGAAAGAAGCUGCAACAAAGAAAGCUGAUGAAAGUAUUUUGAUUCAAAUUGCUGAUAAGGACCUAGCAUUGAAAGUGGAAUAACCAUAAACAAUGUUAUGAAAAGUACAUGUGUAAAAGGUUUUCACAACUUGUUUUCCAUAGACCAAAGUUAUGAAACAAGAGUGAAAUUGUUUAUGCAGAGUGCCUCAGUCAAGAAAAAGUUUUAUGGAUGAUGACAUAGAAACAUCUCAGAGUUCACACAAGAGUCUGAUUCUGAUGUUGACAUUGUAAUGAAAACAUUGACAUACACAAGUGCAACAUUGAAAGAAAUGUACUGUAUACAGUUGGCCUAACAUUGAGAAACAACUUGCAUAAUUGUACAUCAGCUUGGUACAAGAACUGGCCACCACAUGUAUCAGAUAUUACUGGAAUAAUGUUGAUGUGUUAAUAGUUGCUUGUGCAACAGCUGAAUCAUAUGCCAUUACCAAAGAUAGUGAGAGACAAUGUCCAAAACCACUCAAAAUCUUAAAUAUCAGGCCAGAACAACCAAACAUAGUGCUAGGGACUUGGGUAUCUGUACUUUCCCCCUAUUAGAAAUAUAGACCAAAUUUUGACACAGAGAAAAAUCUUUGAUGUAGUUUGGUCAUCUAAUUCAAUGUAGUCAGUCUACUGUUUUCACAGAUACCAUUUUGUCCAGCUUUCGCUUUUUCGACUUCUAAACAAUAAAAAAACCAUGCAUA